AGAGUUUGAUCCUGGCUCAGGAUGAACGCUGGUGGCGCGCUUAAUGCAUGCAAGUCGAACGAUUUGUUACCCUUCGGGGUAUCAAAGAGUGGCAAACGGCUGAGUAAUGCCUGAGUGACCUACCCUGAAGUGGGGGACAACCCCGAGAAAUUGGGGCUAAUACCGCAUAAUCUCCUUGAGUUUAUCUUGGAGGAAAGCCUUCGGGCGCUUUAGGAGGGGCUUGGGCCCUAUCAGGUUGUUGGUGGGGUAAUGGCCUACCAAGCCUAAGACGGGUAGCUGGUCUGAGAGAUGAUCAGCCAGACGGGGACUGAGACACGGCCCCGACUCCUACGGGAGGCAGCAGCAAGGAAUCUUGCGCAAUGGGCGAAAGCCUGACGCAGCGACGCCACGUGGGGGAUGACGGCUUUCGGGUUGUAAACCCCUUUUCUUGGUGAAGAGGAAGGACGGUAGCCAAGGAAUAAGCCUCGGCUAACUACGUGCCAGCAGCCGCGGUAAUACGUAGGAGGCGAGCGUUAUCCGGAUUUACUGGGCGUAAAGAGCGCGUAGGCGGCCUUUUAAGUUGAUGGUGAAAGCUCCUGGCUCAACCGGGAGAGGUCUGUCAAUACUGGAGGGCUUGAGGACAGCAGAGGAGGGUGGAAUUCCCAGUGUAGCGGUGAAAUGCGUAGAUAUUGGGAGGAACACCAGUGGCGAAGGCGACCCUCUGGGCUGUACCUGACGCUGAGGCGCGAAAGCGUGGGGAGCGAAGAGGAUUAGAUACCCUCGUAGUCCACGCCCUAAACGGUGGACACUAGGUAUAGGAGGUAUCGACCCUUUCUGUGCCGAAGCUAACGCUUUAAGUGUCCCGCCUGGGGACAACGGCCGCAAGGCUACAACUCAAAGGAAUUGACGGGGGCCCGCACAAGCAGCGGAGCGUGUGGUUUAAUUCGAUGCAACGCGAAGAACCUUACCAAGGCUUGACAUGCUAGUGGUAGAACUCUGAAAGGGGAACGACUGAAGCUUCGGCUGAUGAGCUAGCACAGGUGCUACAUGGCUGUCGUCAGCUCGUGCCGUGAGGUGUUGGGUUAAGUCCUAUAACGAGCGCAACCCUUGUCGCUAGUUGUAUUCUCUAGCGAGACUGCCUAGAUAAUCUAGGAGGAAGGCGGGGACGACGUCAAGUCAGCAUGGCCCUUACGCCUUGGGCAACACACACGCUACAAUGGGUGGUACAACGGGUAGCUAAGGAGCGAUCUGGAGCCAAUCCUUAAAACCAUCCCCAGUUCAGAUUGCAGGCUGAAACUCGCCUGCAUGAAGGAGGAGUUGCUAGUAAACGUGGGUCAGCACACCGCGUUGAAUACGUUCUCGGGCCUUGUACACACCGCCCGUCACGUCAUGAAAGCCGGCAACACCUGAAGUCAGUGGGCUAACUCGCUUCGGCGAGAGGCAACUGCCGAGGGUGGGGCUGGUGAUUGGGACGAAGUCGUAACAAGGUA
Molecule: ribosomal RNA, 1469 nt
Filed under: metagenome
Description: bacterial SSU rRNA
Rfam family: Bacterial small subunit ribosomal RNA
Source: RNAcentral